RNAcentral lists this ribosomal RNA (472 nucleotides) under uncultured bacterium. RNAcentral describes it as "bacterial SSU rRNA". It matches the Rfam family "Bacterial small subunit ribosomal RNA", at positions 331 to 795 of the family's 1533-position model. The record is from RNAcentral.
CCAGACUCCUACGGGAGGCAGCAGUGGGGAAUAUUGCACAAUGGGCGCAAGCCUGAUGCAGCCAUGCCGCGUGUAUGAAGAAGGCCUUCGGGUUGUAAAGUACUUUCAGUCGGGAGGAAGGUGGUAAGGUUAAUAACCUUAUCAAUUGACGUUACCGACAGAAGAAGCACCGGCUAACUCCGUGCCAGCAGCCGCGGUAAUACGGAGGGUGCAAGCGUUAAUCGGAAUUACUGGGCGUAAAGCGCACGCAGGCGGUCUGUCAAGUCGGAUGUGAAAUCCCCGGGCUCAACCUGGGAACUGCAUUCGAAACUGGCAGGCUGGAGUCUUGUAGAGGGGGGUAGAAUUCCAGGUGUAGCGGUGAAAUGCGUAGAGAUCUGGAGGAAUACCGGUGGCGAAGGCGGCCCCCUGGACAAAGACUGACGCUCAGGUGCGAAAGCGUGGGGAGCAAACAGUAUUAGAUACCCCAGUAAAC